RNAcentral lists this transfer RNA (84 nucleotides) under Campylobacter sp. Its description in RNAcentral is "tRNA-Leu". It matches the Rfam family "tRNA". Rfam says of the family: Transfer RNA (tRNA) molecules are approximately 80 nucleotides in length. Their secondary structure includes four short double-helical elements and three loops (D, anti-codon, and T loops). Further hydrogen bonds mediate the characteristic L-shaped molecular structure. tRNAs have two regions of fundamental functional importance: the anti-codon, which is responsible for specific mRNA codon recognition, and the 3' end, to which the tRNAs corresponding amino acid is attached (by aminoacyl-tRNA synthetases). tRNAs cope with the degeneracy of the genetic code in two manners: having more than one tRNA (with a specific anti-codon) for a particular amino acid; and 'wobble' base-pairing, i.e. permitting non-standard base-pairing at the 3rd anti-codon position. The record is from RNAcentral. Lineage: Bacteria; Pseudomonadati; Campylobacterota; Epsilonproteobacteria; Campylobacterales; Campylobacteraceae.
GCGAUCGUGGUGGAAUGGUAGACACGCUAUCUUGAGGUGGUAGUGCCGUAAGGUGUGCGAGUUCAACUCUCGCCGAUCGCACCA